AGAGUUUGAUCCUGGCUCAGGAUUAACGCUGGCGGUGUGCCUAACACAUGCAAGUCGAGCGCCCCUUCGGGGGAGCGGCGGACGGCUGAGUAACACGUUGGUACCUACCCCGAACUCGGGAAUAAGCACUGGAAACGGUGUCUAAUGCCCGAUAGCACUCUUCGGAGUAAAGAAUUUCGGUUCGGGAGGGGCCUGCGCCCGAUUAGCUUGUUGGUGAGGUAACGGCUCACCAAGGCUCUGAUCGGUAGGUGGUCUGAGAGGAUGAUCACCCAGACUGGGACUGAGACACGGCCCAGACUCCUACGGGAGGCAGCAGUGAGGAAUCUUGCACAAUGGGGGAAACCCUGAUGCAGCAACACCGCGUGGAGGAAGAAUGCCUUCGGGUUGUAAACUCCUUUUAUACGGGACGAACAUUGACGGUACCGUAUGAAUAAGGACUGGCUAACCACGUGCCAGCAGCCGCGGUAAUACGUGGAGUCCAAGCGUUAUCCGGAUUUACUGGGCGUAAAGCGUCUGUAGGUGUCCCGUUAAGUCUUCGGUGAAAUCUCCAGGCUCAACUUGGAAACUGUCGAGGAAACUAGCGGGAUCGAGUACGGUAGAGGUAGAUGGAAUUCUUGGUGUAGAGGUAAAAUUCGUUGAUAUCAAGAAGAACACCAGUGGCGAAGGCGAUCUACUGGGCCGUUACUGACACUGAGAGACGAAAGCGUGGGGAGCGAACGGGAUUAGAUACCCCGGUAGUCCACGCUGUAAACGAUGGGCACUAGGCAUCUGGGGCAUAGACCCCCUGGGUGUCGUAGCUAACGCGUUAAGUGCCCCGCCUGGGGAGUACGAGCGCAAGCUUAAAACUCAAAGGAAUUGACGGGGGGCCGCACAAGCGGUGGAGCGUGUGGUUUAAUUCGACGCUAAGCGAAGAACCUUACCAGGGCUUGACAUCCCGGUCGUAUUUUGUGGAAACACAAAAGUCGGUUUGGCCGGACCGGUGACAGGUGCUGCAUGGUCGUCGUCAGCUCGUGUCGUGAGAUGUUGGGUUAAGUCCCGCAACGAGCGCAACCCUCGUCGUGUGUUGUAUUUUUCACACGAGACUGCCUGGGUUAACCAGGAGGAAGGCGGGGAUGACGUCAGAUCAGCAUGGCCCUUAUGCCCUGGGCGACACACGCGCUACAAUGGCCGGCACAAUGGGUUGCGAAACCGCGAGGUGGAGCUAAUCCCAUCAAAGCCGGUCUCAGUUCGGAUUGGAGGCUGCAACUCGCCUCCAUGAAGUCGGAAUCGCUAGUAAUCGCGGAUCAGCCAUGCCGCGGUGAAUACGUUCUCGGCCCUUGUACACACCGCCCGUCACACCACGAAAGUCGGGAAUGCCCGAAGCACCCUUAGCCAACCUUUUGGAGGCGGGGUACCACGGCAGGUUCGAUGAUUGGGGUGAAGUCGUAACAAGGUA
This 1435-nucleotide ribosomal RNA is filed under the name metagenome. RNAcentral's name for it is "bacterial SSU rRNA". It matches the Rfam family "Bacterial small subunit ribosomal RNA". The record is from RNAcentral.